AUGCCAGGAUAUAGACAGAGCCAUGCACUUUACAUUUUACAUCAAUUAAAAAAUUAAAAUGAAUUUUAUGUUAAUUUUAUGGUUUUGUGAGAAAAAAAAUGUAUUUCUGUUCCACAUUAUAGGAAAAAAAAUUUUGCUUUCCUUCUCAUAAGAAAAAAAAAAUUUUGUCGGAGGAAGGUUCUGAAAAAAAAAUUAUGAACACAAUAAAAAUCCCAGGCCCCCCCCCCCCCAGAUAAGAAAAUGGUUGUUGCCUUAUGGUCAUUGUAACAUGUGCCUGUUUUGUCUAAUUUGGCCAAUGGAUUUUUCCUUUGUAGAUUUUUUUUUUAAUCAUUAUUUUUUUUUUGUG
Molecule: long non-coding RNA, 346 nt
Filed under: Mytilus galloprovincialis (Mediterranean mussel)
Lineage: Eukaryota; Metazoa; Mollusca; Bivalvia; Mytilida; Mytilidae
Source: RNAcentral